GAGAGUCUUUGCAUCAUAGU
This 20-nucleotide small nuclear RNA is filed under the name Arabidopsis thaliana (thale cress). RNAcentral's name for it is "snRNA_05233". Lineage: Eukaryota; Viridiplantae; Streptophyta; Magnoliopsida; Brassicales; Brassicaceae. The record is from RNAcentral.